Molecule: ribosomal RNA, 253 nt
Filed under: uncultured bacterium
Lineage: Bacteria
Description: partial 16S ribosomal RNA
Rfam family: Bacterial small subunit ribosomal RNA
Source: RNAcentral
UACGUAGGGUGCAAGCGUUGUCCGGAAUUAUUGGGCGUAAAGAGCUCGUAGGCGGUCUGUCGCGUCGGCUGUGAAAACUCGGGGCUCAACCCCGAGCCUGCAGUCGAUACGGGCAGACUAGAGUCCGGCAGGGGAGACUGGAAUUCCCGGUGUAGCGGUGAAAUGCGCAGAUAUCAGGAGGAACACCGGUGGCGAAGGCGGGUCUCUGGGCCGGAACUGACGCUGAGGAGCGAAAGCGUGGGGAGCGAACAGG